Molecule: ribosomal RNA, 329 nt
Filed under: uncultured Glomus
Lineage: Eukaryota; Fungi; Glomeromycota; Glomeromycetes; Glomerales; Glomeraceae
Description: bacterial SSU rRNA
Rfam family: Eukaryotic small subunit ribosomal RNA
Source: RNAcentral
AGCAGCCGCGGUAAUUCCAGCUCCAAUAGCGUAUAUUAAAGUUGUUGCAGUUAAAAAGCUCGUAGUUGAAUUUCGGGAUCAGUACGCUGGUCAUACCUUCGGUACGUACUGGUGUCACUGAUUCCUCCCUUCUGAAGAACCGUCAUGCCAUUCAGUUGGUGUGGCAGGGAAUCAGGACUGUUACUUUGAAAAAUUAGAGUGUUUAAAGCAGGCUCGCGCUUGAAUACAUUAGCAUGGAAUAAUGAAAUAGGUCGCUUGAUCCUAUUUUGUUGGUUUCUAGGAUCGAUGUAAUGAUUAAUAGGAUAGUGGGGCAGUUAGUAUUCAAUUGU